CUUAACUUUUCUGGAAAAAUCAGGAGCUUCACUGAAGUCAAUGGAGUAUGAAUGGUAUAUAAUAUCUGGUAAGUGCUGAAUCAUUAAAUAGCAUUUAAUUGAGCAGAGUAAUAAAGUAACUCAAGAAUGGGAUCCUAUUAAACUUUAUAUAUCUCCUUGCAAUGACUAUAGUGUGAAAUGUUUUCUGUAGUCUGAGCAGCUGUUAACACUGGAGAAGAUGGUGCAUGCUGUAUUUUCACUGUGCCUAUUUUUGCUGCCUUCUCAUUGUGCUGAGAUGAUGUAAGACUCUGGGAAUACCUGAUCCAGUUAACCAGAUUGACUUAGUGACCUUGUGUCACGCACUGUGACUGAUGCAUUUUGAUUUUUACAAACUGCAAAAGUUAGUUUUGCUGAUGGGCAGGACAACCCUGCAGGAUAACCAACAACUUAGUAUUUUUCCAGUAUUCCAGAAAUAAAAAGGCAAAGUUCAUUAGUCCUUGCACAGCUCAAAAACUGGGAACCUGGAUUCUUUCCUCUGAAACUCAACGUUUUGCAGUAGCAACCAGAAAAUGAUAAUAAAUAACCAGUGUCUGUGUGGAUGGUCCUUGCCUUAGUUACUAUUUAGAAGCUCUUAUCUGUUAUAAAACCCUGUAAUUCUCCAGUCCUUGCAGGAAGUGCGGAUGAAUGAACAUUCAUUGAACUACAUGACCAAAACUGUAUGUGUUCUAAAGGAUAUCUGUUGAAAAAAUAAAGAAAUUAAGUUCAGUUUUCCCUAUAUUCCUUUUUAAUAGUAUAAAGCAGGUAGAUCUUUUGCUGAUAAUAUGGAACACUGACUGUUUUUAUGCUCCUGUUUGCACAAAAUCUUAUUAGAGAUUCUGAUCACAAUCAUCCCCCAGAACUAUGAGACCAUAUCUUUCUAAUAAUUAUGUUGUUAUUAAUCAAUAAGCAUUUAAAUGAUUUCAUCUGUACUCUGCUGUUAAAUUUCUGAAGAAGUAAGGGCUAUUCUGGUAGGCAUUGAUACUUGCAAUGUUUUCUACCAUCAUCGUCGCUCCUUGAAUCCCUUUGUUCUUCAUCCUGCCUCAGAUUUUCAUUACCUCCUUCUGGCUUUUAUCUUUUCAAACUCAGGAAAUACUUUGUUCUUGGGAUCUUUUCCAAAUUCACUAAAGGCUUUGCUCUUGGGACCUCAUCUUUCAGUUUGCCUUAUGAAAUACCUGUCCUUUUUAAGUACGCUGCAAAACAACAAUAGCAUCCUGAGGCAUGAAAUGGAUUUAGACCCUCAGCACUUUCCAUGGGAUUCACUUAGCUGGGAAGAGUCAUUUAUCAUCUCUAGAGAAAAGAGAUGUGAGCAGCAGAAGAGAGAGUUUUACAGGAACAGCUGAUGCCUGAGUGCUGUAAGAGCAAUGGACAGAGCAGAGGCUCCUCAGGGGCUGCAGGAAGCUCUGCCAGUGGUUGUACCUGUUUAGGAAAACAUAUCAGCUAAAUGAAAGUCAGCGUGCAUCUGCUGCAUAAGUUGCAGGCUGCCUCACAUCUUGGCUCAGUUUAGGGCAUAUGGUUCUAGUUUAGUUGAAAGAAUUUUACCUAAAUGUUUUGUAACCUAUCUACCAUCUUGGUUCAGUGGUACCAUCCUUACUUUUCUUGAUAUGUCAUUUUUCCAAUUUAUCUGUAUUGGCGGUGAACUGGGUUGGAUUAACUUGCAUUAUAUUUAAAAGUUUUACUAUAUGGUUAACUUAUGUGUGUUAUUCAUUGCCUCAUUGUGAUGCUUUCUCAAAAUAGUAAUUCUGUGAACUGGGUGGAUAAAAUAAUUUUAAUAUAUAUAACUUACUCUGGUGACCUUCCCCAGUAUUUGGUUUCUGCUGUUCUCUCUAACUGAACCUCCUAAUAAUUUGUGAUGAAACUUACAGAAGUUUAAAAAACACAAACUGAUAACAAGGUGUACUGACAAGCUGAAAAAGCCAGAGCUGGCCUGGGUUUUUCUGUUUUGCUGGGGUCUGGGUUGGGAGGAGGACAAAGUUGUUGCAUUAGGUGAGAUCUGUAUCAGACUGUAAAAGGGGUUGUGCAUCAUCCCUAGUGAUACAUAAGGACUGUUAUUCUGUCACUCCCAAGGUGAAUGUGGACUGAGUUCCACUCUGUGCUGACUGGGGGGCACUAAUAAGGUCCAAGUGUUAUCUGUGGGUUAGAAAAGAAUCUGUGAAGCCUCAAAAAUGGAUGUUGUGUACAAGCCUCCAGGUAAGUUUCCUGGUAUGUAUCUCCUAGUGCCAGGUACAACCUCUUCUUCAUCAUGCCAGCUUCAAAAAUAUUGGCACCUCAGGGAGAAGGGGCAUGGACUUCCAGGUUGGAUUUCAGCUGAGGAUACAGCAUCUCAUCUGCUCACAGAGGGGCUUUGCUGUGUCCUGUCUCUACAUACACAUACAUAUUAUGUGUACGUUCUGGUUUGGGAUUAGGCAUGUGCCCUCAGCUCCUGCACAGCUGGUGUGCCUCAGAGUUAAACACUUUUUAUUAUGAAAUACAGGUAAUUAGAUGGCUUCAACACUGAGCAGACAGCUGUGUAUUUAAAUGUGACCUUAUACCCAGUCAGUCCCCUAACCUGCAUUUUGAAUAUGGUAUUUAGGUAAAUGCUGCGCUGAGCCUGAGGAAUUGUUAAAAGUGACACAACGGUAUGCUAAUGCAAUUAGAUGACUUGCAGUGCUGAGAUUUGCCCUUUGUUUGGGCUCAGUUGCAGUUUAACCAGAUGCAAAAAUAUGUAGACAGUAACUUGUACAUUGCUGAAACAAGCCUAGCAGGGCAAAGGUGAGAUCCACGUGUCAAAGGUGGUGCUACAGACAGCUGCCACAAGAUCUGCCAGUGACACUUCAUAUUUCCAGUUGAGAGAGCACUGGGAGGAGGCUUCAAAGCAGUGAGUACCAUCUGGACAUGUCUGUGAGAGCUUGGGAUCUGUUGUUUGGGGUGGGGGGAUUUGUUAUCAGUAGAAGGUUGCUCACUGUGUGUUGAGGUUAUCUUGACACAGGAGGAGAGGCUCCAAACACCUGAUCUGCACCAUGUUUGUGCAGCCAUGGUGAAUCAGUGCUACUUUGCCCCUUUGCUGCUUGGAGGUGCUACCCAGAUGUCAAGUCUCAAUCUGUAAAUGAUGCAAGGAUUUGGAAAGCAGAAUAAUGAGUAGAGACACUGUCCUGCCAGUAAUUGCUGGAAGCAGAGGAGAAGGGAGCUGUAGGAUACUGGCACGUGGAGAAGCGCAGAGAUAUUCCUACUCUGACUGACAGUUUCUAAU
Long non-coding RNA from Vidua chalybeata, 3244 nucleotides. RefSeq lists it as uncharacterized. The transcript has 3 exons. The record is from RefSeq and is a predicted model, not a curated record. NCBI's taxonomy places the organism in Eukaryota, Metazoa, Chordata, Aves, Passeriformes, Viduidae.